This 151-nucleotide non-coding RNA is filed under the name Haptolina ericina. Lineage: Eukaryota; Haptophyta; Prymnesiales; Prymnesiaceae. The record is from RNAcentral.
GCUGCCAGGCGAUCGAAGACGCCACGGUCAUCGCUUCGAAGCUGGAGGAAGCGACGCACAGGUCGCAGAUCGAGACGGCGCUCAGCGAGUACCGUGACACUCGCCUAGUCCGUGCCUCGUCUGUCCAGGGCCUUUCUCGUUUCGCGAGUGA